UCCUGGGUGGCUCAGUGGUAAAGAAUCUGCCUGCAAUGCAGGAGACACAGGUUCAAUCCCUGAUCUGAGAA
RNAcentral lists this transfer RNA (71 nucleotides) under Bos taurus (domestic cattle). It matches the Rfam family "tRNA". Rfam says of the family: Transfer RNA (tRNA) molecules are approximately 80 nucleotides in length. Their secondary structure includes four short double-helical elements and three loops (D, anti-codon, and T loops). RNAcentral also lists the same sequence under 4 other names. Lineage: Eukaryota; Metazoa; Chordata; Mammalia; Artiodactyla; Bovidae. The record is from Rfam by way of RNAcentral.